RNA transcript from Penaeus indicus, 998 nucleotides. RefSeq lists it as uncharacterized. The transcript has 5 exons. NCBI's taxonomy places the organism in Eukaryota, Metazoa, Arthropoda, Malacostraca, Decapoda, Penaeidae. The record is from RefSeq and is a predicted model, not a curated record.
ACAUUAUCCUUAACAGAGAAGUCACAUUCACGGCGAAUAUCCUUGCAAGACACAGAGACGGCAAUCAAACCUAAUCAUCUUGAGCACCACACCACACCAACCAGCAGCGACCACGCUAACCACACCACCUGCUCACGUAACCCGCCAACACACCACAUGCCGCAUAAUCACCUUAACCACACGCACUCCUCUAGGCAACGCGAUAUAAAGAAUCGGAAGCCACAGCCAGCGCCAACGGCCUUGGGUAAUUGCUGAUAUUUGUUACAGCUGCACCGGUUUUGGCAUCAGCAGCUGUGUUUGAAGUCGUCUUUUAUCGUGGACUUUGAGAGAACUGUCACUCUGGGAGAAGUUUCCAUUCAAUGCUGAAUUGCUGUUGAUAACUGGUGGGAAGAGUUGUCCUGGCGGCCGCAGUCACGGGAGAAAAAACCGUUAGUCAUGGUUUAGGUUUAUCUCGAGAUGGCUUUGUCGGUCACGGUGGGGUUAGAGACGUCGGGUAAGGUAUGAUAAUCCCACUUUUCAGACUUUCUGUUUGUAGGUCUUGCUUCCAUAUACAUCCAGUGCGGCAGAUACAGGAGACAAACAACAGAACACGGAAUGGCCAGUUAAGAAGAGGUAAAGACAGAGUCGCCUCCCAUUGGCGGACUGAAAAUGCUGAUGAAACUGUCAGUCAGGGAGGGGCCCGACGUCCUGACACGGAGUUGUCAGUCACGUAGUCGCUGUAUCAUAACCUGUCCUCCUUGGGCCGGUGCCAGACGCGAGCGCUGUCGUCAGUCGCGCUGGAGUCAACUCGGUACGAAUUGUUCACGAGCCCGAGGGAGGACGAGCUGCGUCUUGUGAGGUGCGCCGCGUAGCCCACAGUGAAUGCCAGCGGAGUUAUCCCCAUCAAGGUGAAGCGCGCGUGUCCUCCCGCCCGCCCGUCCUCAGCGGCUGAGCAUCGCCUCGCCGGUCGUCGCUCGCCCCCCCGCCGCCGCCGUUUGAAUCUGGCGGCUCUCGCGCAG